AUGGGGGGACCAUCCUCCAAGGCUAAAUACUCCUGACUGACCGAUAGUGAACCAGUACCGUGAGGGAAAGGCGAAAAGAACCCCGGCGAGGGGAGUGAAAAAGAACCUGAAACCGUGUACGUACAAGCAGUGGGAGCACAGGUUUACCUGUGUGACUGCGUACCUUUUGUAUAAUGGGUCAGCGACUUAUAUUCUGUAGCAAGGUUAACCGAAUAGGGGAGCCGGAGGGAAACCGAGUCUUAAUUGGGCGUUAAGUUGCAGGGUAUAGACCCGAAACCCGGUGAUCUAGCCAUGGGCAGGUUGAAGGUUGGGUAACACUAACUGGAGGACCGAACCGACUAAUGUUGAAAAAUUAGCGGAUGACCUGUGGCUGGGGGUGAAAGGCCAAUCAAACCGGGAGAUAGCUGGUUCUCCCCGAAAGCUAUUUAGGUAGCGCCUCGUGAAUUCAUCUCCGGGGGUAGAGCACUGUUUCGGCUAGGGGGCCAUCCCGGCUUACCAACCCGAUGCAAACUGCGAAUACCGGAGAAUGUUAUCACGGGAGACACACGGCGGGUGCUAACGUCCGUCGUGAAGAGGGAAACAACCCAGACCGCCAGCUAAGGUCCCAAAGUCAUGGUUAAGUGGGAAACGAUGUGGGAAGGCCCAGACAGCCAGGAUGUUGGCUUAGAAGCAGCCAUCAUUUAAAGAAAGCGUAAUAGCUCACUGGUCGAGUCGGCCUGCGCGGAAGAUGUAACGGGGCUAAACCAU
This 747-nucleotide ribosomal RNA is filed under the name Salmonella enterica subsp. enterica serovar Dublin. RNAcentral's name for it is "partial 23S ribosomal RNA". It matches the Rfam family "Bacterial large subunit ribosomal RNA", at positions 444 to 1190 of the family's 2925-position model. The record is from RNAcentral. Lineage: Bacteria; Pseudomonadati; Pseudomonadota; Gammaproteobacteria; Enterobacterales; Enterobacteriaceae.